AGCAGCCGCGGUAAUUCCAGCUCCAAUAGCGUAUAUUAAAGUUGUUGCAGUUAAAAAGCUCGUAGUUGAAUUUCGGGGUUAGUAGGUUGGUCAUGCCUCUGGUAUGCACUGGCCUCACUGAUUCCUCCUUCCUGAUGAGCCGUAAUGCCAUUAAUUUGGUGUUGCGGGGAAUUUGGACUGUUACUUUGAAAAAAUUAGAGUGUUUAAAGCAGGCUCACGCUUGAAUACAUUAGCAUGGAAUAAUGAAAUAGGACGUUUGAUUCUAUUUUGUUGGUUUCUAGGAUCGACGUAAUGAUUAAUAGGGAUAGUUGGGGGCAUUAGUAUUCAAUUGUCAGAGGCGAAAUUCUUGGAUUUAUUGAAGACUAACUACUGCGAAAGCAUUUGCCAAGGAUGUUUUCAUUAAUCAAGAACGAAAGUUAGGGGAUCGAAGACGAUCAGAUACCGUCGUAGUCUUAACCAUAAACUAUGCCGACUAGGGAUCGGAUGAUGUUAAUUUUUAAUGA
Molecule: ribosomal RNA, 503 nt
Filed under: uncultured Glomus
Lineage: Eukaryota; Fungi; Glomeromycota; Glomeromycetes; Glomerales; Glomeraceae
Description: SSU rRNA
Rfam family: Eukaryotic small subunit ribosomal RNA
Source: RNAcentral